AGAAAGUGAUUUCUUUAUGUUGUCAUCACUAUACAGUCCUUUUACUUUCUCAAUAGGCCAGACUUGUUCCAGUAAGCCAUGCCAGAAUAUCAAUCAGAGAGAUGUGGAGAUGUAAUUAAAUGUUGUUAGUGAGCUUUUAGUUAAUCCCUUAGGAGGAGAUUAAAAUGAACAUGGAUUGUAGUGCUAAUUCCAUCUGCUUUCUCCACAUACUGCCCUUGUGAAUUUGCAGUGAAUACAGAGUCUUCAAACGAAAACACACACCAGACG
Molecule: non-coding RNA, 267 nt
Organism: Pelobates cultripes (western spadefoot toad)
Lineage: Eukaryota; Metazoa; Chordata; Amphibia; Anura; Pelobatidae
Source: the annotation of a GenBank genome assembly